GCUUGGGUAGCCGGUUGGUUAGCGCGUCGAGCUACUGAUCCGAAGCUCGCGGGUUCGAAUCUCCGCCUCGGAAA
Molecule: non-coding RNA, 74 nt
Organism: Acanthoscelides obtectus
Lineage: Eukaryota; Metazoa; Arthropoda; Insecta; Coleoptera; Chrysomelidae
Source: the annotation of a GenBank genome assembly